AUGUGUAGGACAAUGACUAGAACAAGGAACUGCAGCAGAACCUUUAACAGGAAAGACAAGAACACGUACGGGACAGCAGCAGCAGAAGCGCUGGACUUGGGGUCGGUGUCCUCGCUUGCCAUGUCGUCGAGGAGGUUGUGGACGUCGGGGAAGAAGUCAUCGGCGACCGGAUCGUCCGUGAUGAAGCAGCUAAUAGUCGCGCUGAGCGCUCCCCGAAAACCUUAUAGUCGCGCUGCGACGGGAGGUGAAGCGAACAGGCAGCGGCCGAAGAGGCGCGCCGUUCGAAUUCAGUGUCCACUACAGAAAACGUUUCAACUCCCACGUGACCUUUCGUAUACCUGUCGUGCGUGGCAAAAAUUUAGACAUCGGCUCAUUCCCGCAACCCGCGGCGCGCCGUGGCGUGGCGAGGCGGGCGGAGGAGGAGGAGCGCGCGUGGAUGUCCCUCUUGUUCUCAUGCUCAUACAUGUGGGGAAAGAACCUCCCUUAUAA
RNAcentral lists this ribosomal RNA (489 nucleotides) under Triticum aestivum (bread wheat). RNAcentral's name for it is "partial small subunit ribosomal RNA". Lineage: Eukaryota; Viridiplantae; Streptophyta; Magnoliopsida; Poales; Poaceae. The record is from RNAcentral.